GCGGCCGGUGGGGACUGCGGGGCGGGCCGGAGUCCGUCCGAGGGCUCCCGCACCUCGGGCUGCGGGAACAUUAAAAUCUCCCCAGAUGCUCACUGCUCUGAUCAUUUCCCCUACAGCACCAGACAUGUUGGCAUCAUCUCUUAGUUGGGCCAUGUGGCCAGGGAACCCUUCAUGAAACCACCUCUGCAGUCCUGGAGAGUUGCUGUAGAAGAAGGAAAAGAGAGGAAGACAACACAACACAGGAGGGGAUAAGUACCUCUGGACACAAUGGAAGUAGUAGUUGUUGAGCAGAGGGAAAGGGAUAGGAGAAGGAUGUGGACUGCAGUGCUGCAGUGCCAGGAAGUUCGAGGACCUUCAGAAAUCAAUCCAUGGGCUCCACAAGCACUGUAUCAAGAGGCAUUCGAGACCAGUCUGGGCUAGAGGAAAUGGGGAAAAGAAGAGAAGGAAGUGAAAGGAAUCUGUUGAGAGAGCAGGUGAAGUGAUCCAAGAAAAGGCAGUGCCAUGGGAACCAAGAAAGGAGACCAAAAGUGAAGAAUGUUGAGUCUGAGCCAGAGAAGGACUGAUGGAGCCAUUGCCACUGUAGCCUCAGAGAGGGCAGCUUCACUAGAACAAUGGCAGCAGAAUGCAGAUGGAGCCAGCGGGGAGAGGAGUGGACAUGAGAGAAAGAUCCCAUAGCCCUCUUGGUCUUGGUUGGAACAGGAGGAAAAUGAAAACUGGACAUCCAUCUUAGGACUUAAUCCUACGGAGACCACAAGCUGGAAGAGGCACUCAAUACUAGCAUGGCUUCUGUGGCAUUUUGAUGAGUAGUAUGGGCUCCACACUGAAAUAUUAAUAUCUUAUUGUUUUGAUGAUGAUGAUGAUGUUCAUUGGCCCAGGGCAAAAGGUAAAGGUUGUGUUAUAAAGCUGAUCUAUUCAAUAUCUGUGGAUGUUAACUCCACCCCAUCCCCUUAUUGAACAAUUACGAUGCCUAUAAAUAUUGUAUUGAGAAAGAAAAAAAAAACUAAGGCAGAAGAUAUCAUAUUACCUGUCCAUAUGUGACAUUUUGGCUGGCCAAGCCAUAAUGGCCAAAGAGGAGCAACUGUCAAAAUUUAAGUGGGGUUAGAAAAGAAGAGAGGAACUUGCACGUUUGCACCUACAAGGACCCUCUUUUCUCCUCUGGUAGCCAUGGAAACCACUCCUUGGACCUCCUUUCAAGAGACUCUGCAUGGGGAGCACAGUUGACUGACAGCUCCAAUUGCUGCUCCUUCGAGUCCACCAUGGCACUCAUGCCCACGCAAUGUUUCCUCCAGGGUUCUCCAGGUAGAGAUGGAGCAGGUGGGGUUGCCAGAGGCAGGCCAUCAGGCCAUCUUGACUGAUGUGGGACUUCUAAUGCUUCCAGGUCUGAAGGCUCACCUGCCACUUCCUGCUCCCUCCUCCUUUACCCUUCACAGGAGUUUCCUCCCCAUAAAUUUCUUGUGUAUCUAGUCCUGUCUUGGCAUCAGCUUCUUGGAGGACUUGAACUGAUAUGCACUCAACAGCCAGUAAAUCCUGCUAAUUCACAAAAUCCUUGAUUAUCAGUACUAAAGAAAGACACUGGGGGUGAAGAUGUCAUCUUCUAAAAGACUUACUGGGGAUAAUCUACCACCAAAUGUAGGUGGCAAAUGCCAUCUUUGAUCACAUAAUGGAAUCAAUGAAGGAGGUUAUUGAUCUGGUUCAGAGGUGACUUUAGAAUGUCCCAAACCCUUUAAAUAUGUGUGUAUUGAGUAUGUGUGCAAUUCUCCUUGAAGAACAUUUAUACCUUUCAUCUCAUUAAUCUACAAAAUUAUCAGCAGUGGCAGCUAAUUGUCAGUUAACUAGGUAGUUGACAAGUCACAUUAACAUGAAAUCUGUGUUUCAUGUAAAUAAAAAAAAUAAAAUGACUUAUUUUAUGCAAUAAUA
Molecule: long non-coding RNA, 1917 nt
Organism: Homo sapiens (human)
Lineage: Eukaryota; Metazoa; Chordata; Mammalia; Primates; Hominidae
Product: long intergenic non-protein coding RNA 472
Source: Ensembl